CCUACGGGGUGCAGCAGUGGGGCCUAUUGCACAAUGGGCGCACGCCUGAUGCAGCAACGCCGCGUGAAGGAAGACGGUUUUCGGAUUGUAAACUUCUAUCCAUAGGGCAGAAAGAAAUGACGGUACCUAAAUAAGAAGCCCCGGCUAACUACGUGCCAGCAGCCGCGGUAAUACGUAGGGGGCAAGCGUUAUCCGGAAUUACUGGGUGUAAAGGGAGAGUAGGCGGCAAGGUAAGCGAUAUGUGAAAGCCUUAAGCUUAACUAAAGGAUUGCAUAACGAACUAUCUAGCUAGAGUACAUGAGAGGAAAGCGGAAUUCCUAGUGUAGCGGUGAAAUGCGUAGAUAUUAGGAAGAACACCAGUGGCGAAGGCGGCUUUCUGGACUGAAACUGACGCUGAGGCUCGAAAGCGUGGGGAGCGAACAGGAUUAGAUACCCGAGUAGUC
RNAcentral lists this ribosomal RNA (443 nucleotides) under uncultured bacterium. Its description in RNAcentral is "partial 16S ribosomal RNA". It matches the Rfam family "Bacterial small subunit ribosomal RNA", at positions 338 to 795 of the family's 1533-position model. The record is from RNAcentral.